This 73-nucleotide transfer RNA is filed under the name Coemansia sp. RSA 2049. Its description in RNAcentral is "tRNA-Lys". It matches the Rfam family "tRNA". From Rfam's summary of the family: Transfer RNA (tRNA) molecules are approximately 80 nucleotides in length. Their secondary structure includes four short double-helical elements and three loops (D, anti-codon, and T loops). Lineage: Eukaryota; Fungi; Kickxellomycota; Kickxellomycetes; Kickxellales; Kickxellaceae. The record is from RNAcentral.
GCCGGGCUAGCUCAAUCGGUAGAGCGUGAGACUCUUAAUCUCACGGUUGCGGGUUCGACCCCCGCGUUCGGCU